This 913-nucleotide long non-coding RNA is filed under the name Calidris pugnax (ruff). RNAcentral describes it as "lncRNA (ENSCPUG00000000582.1)". The record is from RNAcentral. Lineage: Eukaryota; Metazoa; Chordata; Aves; Charadriiformes; Scolopacidae.
CCAAAUCUGCUGCCCAACCGGGGAGUCUCUCCCCUAAGUGUCACUGAGCCCUCCCAGGACAUAAGGACUUAAUUCCCUUCUGCUAGACAGCCCACUCGGGCACCAUCUGGAAGUCUCUGGCAAAGAGGUGAAACAGCCUUCCCUGAUGAAUUUUUUCCACCUUUAUUGAGAUAAAACAGAUGUUUGUCACCCGGCCUUCCAUUGUCCGUAGGUCGGGGGUUGCCAGGCUGUGGUAACACCAGAAGAUAAGCGGUUACUGGGCACACAGGUGGAGAUGGCUGCCAAGUGGCACCCGGCAUCCCCGCGGCGCCGUUCCCCAGAACCAAGCCACUUCUUGAAACGUCUUCCCUAGAAGGCGUGCAGAUGUUCUCCUAAGAACUGGCUAAAGGCUCCAACACGCCCAAGACCAGCCAUAUUUAACUGGCGAUUUUUGAGUCUCCAGCAGUCUGGAAGUAAACAUUUGAAAUCAGACUGGGGGAGUGAAAAUGCUGGUGAUGGCCAAGAUAAGCUUUACUACUGGGAGCUGCCAAAAGAGAACGUUGCUGCCAAAGGAAUGUGCAGAUGUUGGAAAUCUCAUCGAACAGAGUUCUUAAAGAGCAUCGGGUGCCUUGAGCUUGGCUAUGCUCAGGGUUCUGCAAGACUUCUGUGGAUUAGGAAACCUCCACAGAACUGGAUGGGAAAGAAAACAGGUUGAGGGUGGGAUGAGUUUACUGUAGGUACCCAGAAAUUAAACUGUUUGCAUCUAAAUAUUGGUUGUAUCUGCAGAACCUGUUUAACUGAUUCUUUUCAUCAUGAGAUAAUUUAGUUUUACAGAUACAGAGUCCUAUUGUGUAUCUCUCAGCAUGUGAUGCAAGGGUGGCAACAGCUAGUCUAAUCACAGCCAACAAUAAAGAGGAAAUUGUAAUUAAUGGCA